AAUCCGAUGGAACAUUGGAGUGGCCCGCAAGGGGAACCCGGACACAGGUGCUGCAUGGCUGUCGUCAGCUCGUGCCGUUGAGGUGUUGGGUUAAGUCCCGCAACCGAGCGCAACCCUUCAUCCUUAGUUGCCAGCAUUUAAGGUGGGCACUCUAAGGAAACUGCCGCAGUUAAUGCGGAGGAAGUGGGGAUGACGUCAAGUCCUCAUGGCCCUUAUGCCCAGGGCUACACACGUGCUACAAUGGGUGGAACAAAGGGUUGUGAACCCGUAAGGGGGAACUAAUCCCAGAAAAGCACUCUCAGUUCGGAUUGGAGUCUGCAACCCGACUCCAUGAAGCUGGAAUCGCUAGUAAUCGCGGAUCAGCAUGCCGCGGUGAAUACGUUCCCGGGCCUU
This 393-nucleotide ribosomal RNA is filed under the name uncultured Syntrophorhabdus sp. RNAcentral's name for it is "bacterial SSU rRNA". It matches the Rfam family "Bacterial small subunit ribosomal RNA", at positions 994 to 1382 of the family's 1533-position model. Lineage: Bacteria; Pseudomonadati; Thermodesulfobacteriota; Syntrophorhabdia; Syntrophorhabdales; Syntrophorhabdaceae. The record is from RNAcentral.